UCCUGGCUCAGAUUGAACGCUAGCGGGAUGCUUUACACAUGCAAGUCGAACGGCAGCACGAGAGAGCUUGCUCUCUUGGUGGCGAGUGGCGGACGGGUGAGUAAUAUAUCGGAACGUGCCUAGUAGCGGGGGAUAACUACUCGAAAGAGUGGCUAAUACCGCAUACGCCCUACGGGGGAAAGGGGGGGAUCGCAAGACCUCUCACUAUUAGAGCGGCCGAUAUCGGAUUAGCUAGUUGGUGGGGUAAAGGCUCACCAAGGCAACGAUCCGUAGCUGGUUUGAGAGGACGACCAGCCACACUGGGACUGAGACACGGCCCAGACUCCUACGGGAGGCAGCAGUGGGGAAUUUUGGACAAUGGGGGAAACCCUGAUCCAGCCAUCCCGCGUGUAUGAUGAAGGCCUUCGGGUUGUAAAGUACUUUUGGCAGAGAAGAAAAGGUACCUCCUAAUACGAGGUACUGCUGACGGUAUCUGCAGAAUAAGCACCGGCUAACUACGUGCCAGCAGCCGCGGUAAUACGUAGGGUGCAAGCGUUAAUCGGAAUUACUGGGCGUAAAGCGUGUGUAGGCGGUUCGGAAAGAAAGACGUGAAAUCCCAGGGCUAACCUUGGAACUGCAUUUUUAACUGCCGAGCUAGAGUAUGUCAGAGGGGGGUAGAAUUCCACGUGUAGCAGUGAAAUGCGUAGAUAUGUGGAGGAAUACCGAUGGCGAAGGCAGCCCCCUGGGAUAAUACUGACGCUCAGACACGAAAGCGUGGGGAGCAAACAGGAUUAGAUACCCUGGUAGUCCACGCCCUAAACGAUGUCAACUAGCUGUUGGGGCCGUUAGGCCUUAGUAGCGCAGCUAACGCGUGAAGUUGACCGCCUGGGGAGUACGGUCGCAAGAUUAAAACUCAAAGGAAUUGACGGGGACCCGCACAAGCGGUGGAUGAUGUGGAUUAAUUCGAUGCAACGCGAAAAACCUUACCUACCCUUGACAUGUCUGGAAUCCCGAAGAGAUUUGGGAGUGCUCGCAAGAGAACCGGAACACAGGUGCUGCAUGGCUGUCGUCAGCUCGUGUCGUGAGAUGUUGGGUUAAGUCCCGCAACGAGCGCAACCCUUGUCAUUAGUUGCUACGCAAGAGCACUCUAAUGAGACUGCCGGUGACAAACCGGAGGAAGGUGGGGAUGACGUCAAGUCCUCAUGGCCCUUAUGGGUAGGGCUUCACACGUCAUACAAUGGUCGGGACAGAGGGUCGCCAACCCGCGAGGGGGAGCCAAUCUCAGAAACCCGAUCGUAGUCCGGAUCGCAGUCUGCAACUCGACUGCGUGAAGUCGGAAUCGCUAGUAAUCGCGGAUCAGAAUGUCGCGGUGAAUACGUUCCCGGGUCUUGUACACACCGCCCGUCACACCAUGGGAGUGGGUUUCACCAGAAGUAGGUAGCCUAACCGUAAGGAGGGCGCUUACCACGGUGGGAUUCAUGACUGGGGUGAAGUCGUAACAAGGUAGCCGUAAAU
Molecule: ribosomal RNA, 1494 nt
Filed under: uncultured bacterium
Lineage: Bacteria
Description: bacterial SSU rRNA
Rfam family: Bacterial small subunit ribosomal RNA
Source: RNAcentral